GAUGAAGAACGCAGUGAAAUGCGAUAAGUAAUGCGAAUUGCAGAAUUCCAGUGAGUCAUCGAAUCUUUGAACGCACAUUGCGCCCUUUGGUAUUCCGAAGGGCAUGCCUGUUCGAGCGCCAUUAUCACCCCUCAAGCCCUCGGCUUGGUGUUGGACGGUUUGGUGGAGGCCCCCUCGGGGGCUCCUGCCCCUCCCAAAGACAAUGACGGCGGCCUCGUUGGACCCCCGGUACACUGAGUUCUUCACGGGACACGUAUCGGACACAUGGGUUUACGGGACACGGUCUGCCUCCCCUCAGGGAGAAUCUUUCUAAGGUUGACCUCGGAUCAGGUAGGGAUACCCGCUGAACUUAAGCAUAUCAAUAAGCGGAGGA
RNAcentral lists this unclassified non-coding RNA (373 nucleotides) under soil metagenome. RNAcentral's name for it is "partial contains 5.8S ribosomal RNA, internal transcribed spacer 2, and large subunit ribosomal RNA". The stretch from base 1 to 121 matches the Rfam family "5.8S ribosomal RNA", at positions 35 to 154 of the family's 154-position model. The record is from RNAcentral.